This 73-nucleotide transfer RNA is filed under the name Metarhizium acridum. RNAcentral's name for it is "tRNA-Lys". It matches the Rfam family "tRNA". From Rfam's summary of the family: Transfer RNA (tRNA) molecules are approximately 80 nucleotides in length. Lineage: Eukaryota; Fungi; Ascomycota; Sordariomycetes; Hypocreales; Clavicipitaceae. The record is from RNAcentral.
GAAUUAGUAGUUAAGUGGUUAUAAUAUAGCUCUUUUAAUGCUACCACCGUAGGUUCGAAUCCUGCCUAGUCUA